Molecule: non-coding RNA, 179 nt
Organism: Punica granatum (pomegranate)
Lineage: Eukaryota; Viridiplantae; Streptophyta; Magnoliopsida; Myrtales; Lythraceae
Source: RefSeq, a predicted model, not a curated record
CCUGCCACCCUUUCAAGGACCCAAAGUGACAUUUCGGGGAUUUCAGAAAGAGGAAAGGCUUCAUUGCCCCUGAAAUCUUCAGAACAGCAGAACACCGCAACCUCAGAGGAUUGUUCGGGGUCUCCAGUCAUUUGGCAUAACAGGUGUGCCCUUCUGACUUUCCUUACUCUCGAGUCUGA